This 841-nucleotide ribosomal RNA is filed under the name Streptomyces sp. RNAcentral's name for it is "bacterial SSU rRNA". It matches the Rfam family "Bacterial small subunit ribosomal RNA", at positions 89 to 944 of the family's 1533-position model. Lineage: Bacteria; Bacillati; Actinomycetota; Actinomycetes; Kitasatosporales; Streptomycetaceae. The record is from RNAcentral.
GUGAUAGUGGCGAACGGGUGAGUAACACGUGGGCAAUCUGCCCUUCACUCUGGGACAAGCCCUGGAAACGGGGUCUAAUACCGGAUACUGACCUGCCAAGGCAUCUUGGCGGGUCGAAAGCUCCGGCGGUGAAGGAUGAGCCCGCGGCCUAUCAGCUUGUUGGUGAGGUAAUGGCUCACCAAGGCGACGACGGGUAGCCGGCCUGAGAGGGCGACCGGCCACACUGGGACUGAGACACGGCCCAGACUCCUACGGGAGGCAGCAGUGGGGAAUAUUGCACAAUGGGCGAAAGCCUGAUGCAGCGACGCCGCGUGAGGGAUGACGGCCUUCGGGUUGUAAACCUCUUUCAGCAGGGAAGAAGCGAAAGUGACGGUACCUGCAGAAGAAGCGCCGGCUAACUACGUGCCAGCAGCCGCGGUAAUACGUAGGGCGCAAGCGUUGUCCGGAAUUAUUGGGCGUAAAGAGCUCGUAGGCGGCUUGUCACGUCGGUUGUGAAAGCCCGGGGCUUAACCCCGGGUCUGCAGUCGAUACGGGCAGGCUAGAGUUCGGUAGGGGAGAUCGGAAUUCCUGGUGUAGCGGUGAAAUGCGCAGAUAUCAGGAGGAACACCGGUGGCGAAGGCGGAUCUCUGGGCCGAUACUGACGCUGAGGAGCGAAAGCGUGGGGAGCGAACAGGAUUAGAUACCCUGGUAGUCCACGCCGUAAACGGUGGGCACUAGGUGUGGGCAACAUUCCACGUUGUCCGUGCCGCAGCUAACGCAUUAAGUGCCCCGCCUGGGGAGUACGGCCGCAAGGCUAAACUCAAAGGAUUGACGGGGGCCGCACAGCGGCGGGAGCAUGGUG